This 477-nucleotide ribosomal RNA is filed under the name uncultured Pseudomonadota bacterium. RNAcentral's name for it is "bacterial SSU rRNA". It matches the Rfam family "Bacterial small subunit ribosomal RNA", at positions 8 to 522 of the family's 1533-position model. The record is from RNAcentral. Lineage: Bacteria; Pseudomonadati; Pseudomonadota.
AGAGUUUGAUCCUGGCUCAGAACGAACGCUGGCGGCAUGCCUAACACAUGCAAGUCGAACGUGAUCCAGACUUCGGUUUGGUGAAAGUGGCAAACGGGUGAGUAACGCGUGGGAACCUGCCCAGAGGUAGGGAAUAACUGCGGGAAACUGCGGCUAAUACCCUAUGUGUCCUGAGGGACAAAGAUUUAUCGCCUUUGGAGGGGCCCGCGUCGGAUUAGGUAGUUGGUGGGGUAACGGCCACCAAGCCUUCGAUCCGUAGCUGGUCUGAGAGGAUGAUCAGCCACACUGGGACUGAGAUACGGCCCAGACUCCUACGGGAGGCAGCAGUGGGGAAUAUUGGACAAUGGGGGCAACCCUGAUCCAGCAAUGCCGCGUGAGUGAUGAAGGCCUUCGGGUUGUAAAGCUCUUUCGGCGGGGAAGAUGAUGACGGUACCCGCAGAAGAAGCCCCGGCUAACUUCGUGCCAGCAGCCGCGGUA